RNAcentral lists this ribosomal RNA (277 nucleotides) under uncultured bacterium. RNAcentral describes it as "partial 16S ribosomal RNA". It matches the Rfam family "Bacterial small subunit ribosomal RNA", at positions 32 to 319 of the family's 1533-position model. The record is from RNAcentral.
AAUCAACGCUGGCGGCGUGCCUAACACAUGCAAGUCGCACGAGAAAGGGGCUUCGGCCCUGAGUAAAGUGGCGCACGGGUGAGUAACACGUGAAUCAUCUACCUUCGAGUGGGGAAUAACUGAGAGAAAUCUUAGCUAAUACCGCAUAAUACCUACGGGUCAAAGCAGCAAUGCGCUUGAAGAGGAGUUCGCGGCAGAUUAGUUAGUUGGCGGGGUAAUGGCCCACCAAGACGAUGAUCUGUAUCCGGCCUGAGAGGGCGCACGGACACACUGGAAC